GCUGCCACUAGAGGCGUUGCAGGAAUCACUGGUGUAUCACAUCCAUGUGUGCCAGUAGGUUGAAGAGAGGAGAGAGGCUAUGUCUACCCUCAGUAUUCUGACCUGUGAAUAGCUAAAUCAUUGGUAACCUAACACU
Molecule: small nucleolar RNA, 136 nt
Organism: Meriones unguiculatus (Mongolian gerbil)
Lineage: Eukaryota; Metazoa; Chordata; Mammalia; Rodentia; Muridae
Source: Ensembl